This is a non-coding RNA of Pelobates cultripes (western spadefoot toad), 470 nucleotides long. The record is from the annotation of a GenBank genome assembly. Lineage: Eukaryota; Metazoa; Chordata; Amphibia; Anura; Pelobatidae.
CGGUCAUACCGCUCGGUUAACGUGGCUAGGUCAGCUAUCUCGGCGGCACAUGUCCCGCUUAGAGGUUUUCCCAUCGGCCAGGAUCCGCUAGUCUGCAGACUCCUGCGUGGAAUGAGGCUGGCGCGCCCUCCGGCGCCCAAGUACUCUUCCCUCUGGGACGUACGUUUGGUUUUGGCGUUCCUUCGGGAUUGGCCUGAUAACCAGGACCUUUCUCCUCGCCAGCUUUCGGCAAAAUUUGCCCUCUUGUUGUGUCUGGUCUCGUUCAGACGUGUUUCGGAUGUCCGGGCCUUCGAUGUCGACGCUUUCUCGUUUUCUCCAGAGGGGGUCUCCUUCAAGGUGGUUAGACGUACCAAGUCGGACUCGACGGUUGUAUCAUACCCUUACUUCAAAGAUUCGCCUAAGCUUUGUGUAGCGAAGGCACUGGCUCGUUAUGUUGCGGUUACCGCUCCUUUGCGCUCUUCUCAUUCUGG